GGAAUAUUGCGCAAUGGAGGAAACUCUGACGCAGUGACGCCGCGUAUAGGAUGAAGGUUUUCGGAUUGUAAACUAUUGUCGUUAGGGAAGAUAAAAGACAGUACCUAAGGAGGAAGCUCCGGCUAACUACGUGCCAGCAGCCGCGGUAAUACGUAGGGAGCAAGCGUUAUCCGGAUUUAUUGGGUGUAAAGGGUGCGUAGACGGGAAAUUAAGUUAGUUGUGAAAUCCCUCGGCUUAACUGAGGAACUGCAACUAAAACUGGUUUUCUUGAGUGCGGGAGAGGAAAGUGGAAUUCCUAGUGUAGCGGUGAAAUUCGUAGAUAUUAGGAGGAACACCAGUGGCGAAGGCGACUUUCUGGACCGUAACUGACGUUGAGGCACGAAAGUGUGGGGAGCAAACA
Molecule: ribosomal RNA, 400 nt
Filed under: uncultured bacterium
Lineage: Bacteria
Description: bacterial SSU rRNA
Rfam family: Bacterial small subunit ribosomal RNA
Source: RNAcentral